Molecule: long non-coding RNA, 234 nt
Filed under: Homo sapiens (human)
Lineage: Eukaryota; Metazoa; Chordata; Mammalia; Primates; Hominidae
Description: non-protein coding lnc-FAM166A-2:1
Source: RNAcentral
AAGGGAGCUGGAUGCCGGGAGGGACUGGAGCCAGCAAGGCCAGAGUGAAAGCAAAAUGACAACUACUCAGAAACACGAUCUCUUCACGCCGGAGCCUCACUAUGUCCCUGGCACUAUGAAAAUGCUUUAAUGGUGGUGUCUGUACAGCAUGGAUGUGGACAGGGAAAACAGCAAGUGCACACAGUGGGACAGGCCACAGGACAGGCUGGGAGUGAAUAAAGAGUUCACACUGCU